Pelobates cultripes (western spadefoot toad) is the source of this 1123-nucleotide non-coding RNA. The record is from the annotation of a GenBank genome assembly. Lineage: Eukaryota; Metazoa; Chordata; Amphibia; Anura; Pelobatidae.
UAUGUAGAGUAAGGGGACGUUAUGCAGAGGUGGGACGCAGAGUAAGGGGACGCAGUGCAGAGUAAGGGGACAAGUAUGCAGAGUAAGGGGGCGUAUGUGAGUAAGGGACGCAGUGUGAGUAUGGGGGUGUUAUGUAGAGUAGUAAGGUUAGUAGAGUAAGGGGACGCAGGAGUAAGGGGACGUUAUGCAGAGUAAGGGGGACGUUAUGCGGAGUAAGGGGACGUUAUACGGAGUAAGGGGACGUUAUACGGAGUAAGGGGACGUUAUACAGAGUAAGGGAGUGUUAUACAGAGUAAGGGAGUGUUAUACAGAGUAAGGGGACGUUAUACGGAGUAAGGGGACGUUAUACGGAGUAAGGGGACGUUAUACGGAGUAAGGGGACGUUAUACAGAGUAAGGGGACGUUAUACAGAGUAAGGGAGUGUUAUACAGAGUAAGGUGGGGUGUUAUACAGAGUAAGGGGACGUUAUACAGAGUAAGGGGGAUGUUAUACAGAGUAAGGGGGACGUUAUACAGAGUAAAGGAGUGUUAUACACAGUAAGCGGACGUUAUACAGAGUAAGGGGGUGUUAUACAGAGUAAAGGGGUCGUUAUACGGAGUAAGGGGACGUUAUACGGAGUAAGGGGACGUUAUACGGAGUAAGGGGACGUUAUACGGAGUAAGGGGGGUGUUAUACGGAGUAAGGGAGUGUUAUACAGAGUAAGGGAGUGUUAUUCAGAGUAAGGUGGGGUGUUAUACACAGUAAGGGGACGUUAUACAGAGUAAGGGGGUGUUAUAAAGAGUAAGGGGGUGUUAUACAGAGUAAGGGAGUGUUAUAAAGAGUAAGGGGGUGUUAUAAAGAGUAAGGGGGUGUUAUAAAGAGUAAGGGAGUGUUAUACAGAGUAAGGGGGGUGUUAUACAGAGUAAGGGGGUGUUAUAAAGAGUAAGGGGGUGUUAUAAAGAGUAAGGGGGGUGUUAUAGGAGGGAGUCUCACCAUGAAAUGACAGUCUGGUUAACUCACUCUCUGCUGCCUGUCUCUCUCUCUGUGUCUGACCUGUGGGCUGUCUCUGUGAGUGUUUCCUCUGUCAGUCUCCCUCCCCCAGCAGCUCACUCACCCUCCCAGUCUGUGCUCCUCCCUGCAUUCC